UACGUAGGGUGCGAGCGUUGUCCGGAAUUAUUGGGCGUAAAGAGCUCGUAGGCGGCCUGUCACGUCGGUUGUGAAAGCCCGGGGCUUAACCCCGGGUCUGCAGUCGAUACGGGCAGGCUAGAGUUCGGUAGGGGAGAUCGGAAUUCCUGGUGUAGCGGUGAAAUGCGCAGAUAUCAGGAGGAACACCGGUGGCGAAGGCGGGUCUCUGGGCAACAACUGACGCUGAGGAGCGAAAGCGUGGGGAGCGAACAGG
RNAcentral lists this ribosomal RNA (253 nucleotides) under uncultured bacterium. RNAcentral's name for it is "partial 16S ribosomal RNA". It matches the Rfam family "Bacterial small subunit ribosomal RNA", at positions 524 to 776 of the family's 1533-position model. The record is from RNAcentral.